GAUGAACGCUAGCGAUAGGCUUAACACAUGCAAGUCGAGGGGCAGCAUGGUCUUAGCUUGCUAAGGCUGAUGGCGACCGGCGCACGGGUGCGUAACGCGUAUGCAACUUGCCUCACAGAGGGGGAUAACCCGUCGAAAGACGGACUAAUACCGCGUACACUCUAUGUUGGGCAUCCAAUGUAGAGGAAAUGAAAUUCGCUGUGAGAUAGGCAUGCGUCCCAUUAGCUAGUUGGUGAGGUAACGGCUCGCCAAGGCGACGAUGGGUAGGGGAACUGAGAGGUUGAACCCCCACACUGGUACUGAGACACGGACCAGACUCCUACGGGAGGCAGCAGUGAGGAAUAUUGGUCAAUGGGCGAGAGCCUGAACCAGCCAAGUCGCGUGAAGGAUGACUGUCUUAUGGAUUGUAAACUUCUUUUAUACGGGAAUAACAAGAGUCACGUGUGGCUCCCUGCAUGUACCGUAUGAAUAAGCAUCGGCUAACUCCGUG
Molecule: ribosomal RNA, 490 nt
Filed under: uncultured bacterium
Lineage: Bacteria
Description: partial 16S ribosomal RNA
Rfam family: Bacterial small subunit ribosomal RNA
Source: RNAcentral